AUGCUGGCUUGCUGCUGCUUUGUGUCCCAGUUGCUCAUCGUAAUAACGCUCAUACACCUUGCCAUGACCAAGAGCAAGGUCCGCAGUGGCACGUGCGCAUCGGCGAUGGUCCCGCUUCCACUUCCGCCGGGACCAUGGUCGUGGCCACUGGUAGGUAGCCUGCCCGAGAUGAUGCUCAAUAAGCCGGCGUUCCGUUGGAUCCAUCGCGUGAUGAAGGAUAUGGGCACCGACAUCGCUUGCUUCCGCCUCGGCGGUGUCCACGUCAUCCCGAUCACAUGUCCCAAGAUCGCAAGGGAGGUGCUCAAGAAGCAGGACAAGAACUUCUUGUCCCGCCCACUCACCUUCGCCUCCGACGCCAUCAGCUGCGGUUACAAGGACGCCGUGCUCACGCCGGUCGGCGACCAGUGGAUGAAGAUGCGCAAGGUGCUCACCUCUGAGAUCAUCUGCCCCUCCCGCCACAAGUGGCUCCAUGACAAGCGCGCCGACGAAGCUGACAACUUGACGCGCUACAUCUACAACCUCACCGCCGUGGGGUCAUCUUCAACGUUGGGACUAGCCAACAUCAAUGUCAGGCACGUCACGCAACAUUACUGCGGCAACGUCAUCCGCCGGCUUGCCUUCGGCCAACGGUACUUCGAGGAGCCUCAGCCGGACGGCGGGCCGGGGCCGAUGGAGGUGGAGCACAUGGACGCUUCCUUCACCCUCCUAGGGCUCCUCUUCUCGUUCUGUGUCAGCGACUACCUCUCGUGUCUACUUGGCCUAGACCUCGACGGCCAUGAGAAAAUUAUUAAGGAGGCCAACACAAAAGUGGAUAGACUGCACAACAUGGUCAUUGAAGAGCGUUGGAGGCAGUGGAACAACGGCGAGAGGCAGGACGGGGUCCAGGACUUCCUUGACAUUCUCAUCACGCUCGUCGAUGGUGACGGCAAGCCGUUGCUCAGCAUCGAUGAGGUCAAAGCACAGUGCAAGGACAUAAUAUUAGCGGCCAUAGAUAACCCGUCAAACGCAGUGGAGUGGGCGCUGGCGGAGAUGGUGAACAGCCCAGAAUUGCUGGCCAAAGCGGUGGAGGAGAUGGACCAGGUGGUCGGUCGCGAGCGACUGGUGCAAGAGUCGGACAUCAUGCAGCUCAACUAUCUCAAGGCGUGCAUACGUGAGGCAUUUCGCCUCCACCCAAUUGCUCCCUUCAACGUGCCGCACGUCGCAAUUGCCGACACCAUUGUUGCGGGCUACCGCGUGCCCAAGGGUAGCCACGUCAUCCUCAGCCGACUGGCCCUGGGCCAGAACCCCACCGUCUGGGAUGAACCACUCCACUUCAAGCCAGAGCGCCAUAUGGGAGACAACAUCAAUGUGGUGCUUACCGAGAGCGAAUUGCGGUUCAUCUCCUUUAGCACCGGACGGCGGGGAUGCAUCGCAGCAUCACUAGGAACAACGAUGAGUGUCAUGCUCUUCGGCAGGCUCCUGCAUGGCUUCACCUGGACCAAACCGGCUGGGGUGCCGGCCAUCAAUCUCCGCGAGUCCAAGCACGACCUCUUCAUAGAGAAACCGCUAGUGCUACAUGCUGAGCCACGUCUUGCAGCGCACCUCUACCCUCUUAUGCACCGUUGA
This 1605-nucleotide ribosomal RNA is filed under the name Triticum aestivum (bread wheat). Its description in RNAcentral is "partial small subunit ribosomal RNA". Lineage: Eukaryota; Viridiplantae; Streptophyta; Magnoliopsida; Poales; Poaceae. The record is from RNAcentral.